CCCAUGUUCCUUAGAUCCACCCUUGGGUUCAUACAGCUGGUCCACAGCUCAGGUGUGACUAGAUAGCUGGUCAACAGCUCAUGUGUGACUAGCUAGCUGGUCCAUGGCUCAUGUGUGACUAGCUAGCUGGUCCAUGGCUCAGAUGUGACUAGCUUGAACCAGCAACUUUCUUGGUUGUAUGUCGAGGGUGCUUGAGUCAUAAGCAUGGAACAGUAAUAUACCUUAGUCUGUAGCUGUUAGCUCUCCUCUGUUGGUAGCUGUUGCUGCAGGCUUGGACACU
Small nucleolar RNA from Mya arenaria, 280 nucleotides. RefSeq annotates it as small nucleolar RNA SNORA53. The record is from RefSeq and is a predicted model, not a curated record. Lineage: Eukaryota; Metazoa; Mollusca; Bivalvia; Myida; Myidae. The transcript has a single exon.